Molecule: ribosomal RNA, 757 nt
Filed under: Yersinia pestis
Lineage: Bacteria; Pseudomonadati; Pseudomonadota; Gammaproteobacteria; Enterobacterales; Yersiniaceae
Description: bacterial SSU rRNA
Rfam family: Bacterial small subunit ribosomal RNA
Source: RNAcentral
CUUAAAUUGAAGAGUUUGAUCAUGGCUCAGAUUGAACGCUGGCGGCAGGCCUAACACAUGCAAGUCGAGCGGCAGCGGGAAGUAGUUUACUACUUUGCCGGCGAGCGGCGGACGGGUGAGUAAUGUCUGGGGAUCUGCCUGAUGGAGGGGGAUAACUACUGGAAACGGUAGCUAAUACCGCAUGACCUCGCAAGAGCAAAGUGGGGGACCUUAGGGCCUCACGCCAUCGGAUGAACCCAGAUGGGAUUAGCUAGUAGGUGGGGUAAUGGCUCACCUAGGCGACGAUCCCUAGCUGGUCUGAGAGGAUGACCAGCCACACUGGAACUGAGACACGGUCCAGACUCCUACGGGAGGCAGCAGUGGGGAAUAUUGCACAAUGGGCGCAAGCCUGAUGCAGCCAUGCCGCGUGUGUGAAGAAGGCCUCGGGUUGUAAAGCACUUUCAGCGAGGAGGAAGGGGUUGAGUUUAAUACGCUCAAUCAUUGACGUUACUCGCAGAAGAAGCACCGGCUAACUCCGUGCCAGCAGCCGCGGUAAUACGGAGGGUGCAAGCGUUAAUCGGAAUUACUGGGCGUAAAGCGCACGCAGGCGGUUUGUUAAGUCAGAUGUGAAAUCCCCGCGCUUAACGUGGGAACUGCAUUUGAAACUGGCAAGCUAGAGUCUUGUAGAGGGGGGUAGAAUUCCAGGUGUAGCGGUGAAAUGCGUAGAGAUCUGGAGGAAUACCGGUGGCGAAGGCGGCCCCCUGGACAAAGACUGACG